Molecule: non-coding RNA, 5997 nt
Organism: Zootoca vivipara (common lizard)
Lineage: Eukaryota; Metazoa; Chordata; Lepidosauria; Squamata; Lacertidae
Source: RefSeq, a predicted model, not a curated record
GUAUCUCAUGGACAAACCAUAAACAAUGAACAGUGUGUGGGCAGAUUGGCUACUAAAUGGUUUUAUAGGACAGUAAUUAUUGUGGAUUUAUUUGCUUAGUUGUACUGAUCCCAAACCUACACCUGAAGACUUGUACAUGGUAGGAAACUAAGACAUUUAACUUCCCAGACGCAUAGCAGGACCCAUUGCAGCAAAUAUUUUUUCAUGGAAAGAUGCAUGUCUGCCUGGAUAGCUCAGUUACCGGUAGUUAGAGCAUGGUGCUGAUAAUGCCAAGGUUGCAAGUUCAAUCCCUGUAUUGGACAGCUGCGUUGUCCUGCAUUGCAGAAGGUUGGACAAGAUGAUCCUCAGGAUCCCUUCCAACUCUACAAUUCUAUGAUUCUUUGCAUUUAUAGGUAACAGGUAUGCAUUUAUAAAUAGCAGAGGUGACAGGCUCAAGAGUCCAAUGUCGUGGCAUUGACAGAGCUUUAUCAUGCUUCAACUAUCCAGUCUUCCUCUAGUUUUCUAUAGAAUCUGCACCAGUUUGCUUACAGCAAACACUCCAACUGGCUAGUUGUUUGUAUCACUAGUGCUGUCAGCUUCCACACGAACAUUGUUAGGGGAAAUAUUUUUGUGUGUAAUGGCAAUUUCAAGAGUUUCUGACAAACUUGCCUUCUCCAGAUCUAGCAAAGCACCCAUCUGAUAGGUUGUGUUGUCUAUGCAUAGAUUUAUGCUUUGAUGUGUAGCAUUGCUAAACUUUACAGUAGGCUAGUUGCAGCCAGCUGGGCAGCAGCUCGAGUUGUUUCUUCUCAAGUUUGUCUCCAUAGUUGAAGAUGCCCUUCAAACUUAUUGCAUCGGUGAAGUUACUGUACCUUUUGGGUCCUUUUGGGUCCUUUGUUGCCAAUAGGCCAGGGUUCUUCCUAAAGGCACAUUUUGUGAACUGCCCCUUAGAUCUUUGGAUGAAGGGCAGUAUAUAAAUGUAAUAAAUACAUAAAAUAAUAGUCACUGUUAAAUACUGCGAACAUCCAGAAUUCAGUAGGAGAUCUGAUGCUGGGCCUGUGCAGAAAACCUGUUGCAUAGCUCUGUAUGAAUCUGGCUCAGGCUGUAUAGUGGCCACUGAGAGGUCUUUCGGCCCACCAGGGUAUAGAUCAGGCCUGGGGGCAUCUCUAACGGUGUACAUGUCUGUUCACACCUUUGAUCCCAUGCAUGGUCUGAAGGUCUCUGGGAAGACUUAAUUUGGCCCAGUGUGAGGUGACAGCUUAAGAAUUAUUAAUUCUAGUAGGGUAGAUUGUUUAGUGGAGUUCUCUUGAGUAGAUUCUGCCAGCAUUAAUGACUUGGUGGAACUUCAAUGUAUCAAUGGUAGUAGACCAAUGCUGGUGGGUCUACAAAAGAAGUUUAAAGACUGUCUCAAGGCAAAUCUAAAAAAAAUGUAGUAUAAACACUGACAACUAGGAAACACUGGCCUGCGAGUGCUCCAGUUGGAGAACAGCCUUUACCAAAGGUGUCAUGGGCUUUGAAGACACUCGAUCUCAGGACGCAAGGGAGAAACGUGCUAAGAGGAAGGCACGCUUGGCAAAUCCACACCAUGAUAAACUCCCACCCGGAAACAAAUGUCCCCACUGUGGAAGGACACGUGGAUCCAGAAUUGGCCUCCACAGUCACUUACGGACCCAUUGUUAAAACCGUGUUUAUGGAAGACAAUCUUACUCGGAUACGAGUGAUCGCCAAAGAAGAAGAAGAAGAGUAGACCAAUAACACUUGGUUAUCCCUAUCAGAGCGCCAUGUCCUACAGUGGGUGAGGCAAAGGAAUUCCUAGCUCUGCAUUGCCUAGAUUCCUGCAACUUCCUAUUGAGCAACUGGUAUCAUAGACACUACAUAAGUCACAGAUAUUCCAUAUGGUUAACUUCCAGGUGUAUUUAUCCUUCACCUAGUGAAGGUCGCAUCGGCGGCUGCUGCCGCCUCUCUCCUUUGUUCAAGUUUAAAAAGGAUGCCAACCAUAUGCUCAGGUAGGAACUGUUUGGCACUAUUAUGUACUUCACAAUGGUCCUCCCAGUAACCAUUGUAAAAAGAGGUGGAGGGGGAUGUGGACUUGGGUUGAACAUCUGCAGUGACCCUUGAAUUAAACAAGUUUCCCAGUGGCAUAGAAAAUACAAUAGCUGCUUGCCUAACGGGAAUUGCUUACUCUAGUAAUUUUGUGUGUUUGCUUGCUGCUCGUUCUAAAAGGCUUGAAAUGUGAAUAUCCUCAUGCCUUUCUUGGGGCAGGGUACAUGGAAGUGCUGUUGAUUCAGUGUUGCCAUUUGUUUGCAUAAUAACAUCAAUGUAUGUGGUGUGUUUCCAAUAAUGUGGGAAAACAAACAAAAAGAGGCUCUUGCCCAAGGAACAUGCAUUCUCUAAUUUAGACAACAAAGGGGAUAACAAAAUAAGGGAAGGGAAGGGCAGACCAUGUAUAUUUGUUCUCAAAACACUCAGGUGACCACUGGUUAUUCAUUUCUUUAUUCAGUCUUUGUUUGGACUUGUAAGACCUGAAGCUUGAAGCAUGAAGAAUUGGUCCAAUAAAAUAAAUAGUUGUGGUAAGGUUAGGAAAUUGGGAGCACUGCACAGGUUUUCAUACUCCUCCCCCUCCACACAUUAAUUCCUCCUCCUUCUCCUCCUCCUUCAUUUUUUUAAUGAGCUAAUUGUAAAGCCAUGCUAUUUUUGCUAGCUAUGGUUCAUCUCCAAAUCCUAGUUUGCAACCAUGGUUACAAGUGGACUCGCAAACUUUGGUUUCAGUAAUUCAGUUAACAAUGGCAGAAAUGCUGUAACACAAACAUUAUGCUAGCUGAGCUUGGCUCAGAAAAUGAAAGGUAGUGGGGAAUCCACAAAGGUAAGGAGGGAAGACCCUGCAAGCCUGAGAAGAGAAGGGGUAGGAGUCUACCAGCUUUGGUGCAUUGGAGUUCCACCAAGUAAUUAGGGCUGGCAGAAUCUGCUCAAUAUAACUCCACUGAAUAAUUUCAUGAGAUGCUCCCAGCCUGCAAGUAGUGGCUAUGAGAUUCAGCAGUAUUGUAUCACCACAGCAAUCUUCUACAUUUGCAGGGCCAAUAUGACUGCAGAGAUCUUGACUGUUUAGAUAGCCUGUUUGUGUAUUGGAGCCCUGAUUUGGGUGUACCACUGACUGCUGUUCCAAUAACCCCAGGCUGUGGUCUUGGUUCACUGUAAAUAGCCUGCCAAAGUGCUGAGCCAGCAGGGCCAUAGUGCACUGUGCAGGUGCAACUCCCACAAUCUGAGCUGCUUAGUCAAUACAAUGUCUCGGUCACCACCUCAAAUAUCUUAUCAGGCAGUAAAUAAGAUCAAUCAUAUUUGUACAGGGUGUUACCUUUAUGCAUUGUACCCUGUCCUCUUUCACAUAAAAAAAUGCACCAUGUGCAAAAAGCUUAAAUUACUUCCUUGUUGCUUUUUGCAAUGUGCAGGAAAGGCUUGCUUUUUUAAUUUUGCAAAGCCAGGAGUGAAAUAAUUUGUGUGUGUUUCAGUGCCAGUUACUGCUGUGGCUGUGGCGGAAUAAUAAAAGGCAGAUUCAAAGGAUGAGUGGUGUUGGUGGUAGUGAAGGGAAAUGUACAGCAUUUCUCCACUGGAAAUGGUACCAGAGUGGAUAGUAUGGUACUUGGUUAAUAGACUGGCCUAAUGGCCUAUAGAGAGGCCACACUGGCAAAAAAAGAGGACACACGUCCUCUAAAAAGAGAGCCCUUAUUUGUAUAAAAUGCACAUAUGCAUAAAUGCAAAUUUUAAACCAUUUACCCUAAUUUAAAUAGAAAUGCAAUACAUCUCACUAUAGAGGGGAAUGUUGCGACCAGGUGACUUGUGUGCCAGCUCAUUGUGCUGUCCAGUGCUAUUGAUGGGGCAACUUCAAGGUUUUCACUUCUUAUUUGAACCUGAACUUAGACUUUCAAAUCAGAGGCCUGUCCUCUGUAAAAUAGGACAUCUGCCCACCCUGAAUUUUUUAGCUAAAUGUCAUCCCCUGUGGUUUCCAUUUGGUUCUUGGGUUACCAAUUCAGAAGAGAAUGCAUAUAAAGGAAUUAUUGGUUUCUCAUGUGCAAAGUUGCCCACUCACAAUCAGUCAAAGUAGCUUCUGGCCAGACUCAUCCGUUGCUGACAAUUGCAUAAAGAAGUGGUGUCCUUCUGCUUUCUAAAUCAAAACUUUUAAAUAAACCCAAAACUGUGCUUUAUGCGUGCACAUAUGUUCCUCUGUAGCUCUAAUGUUUCCUGUUUUUAUGCCAUGGAGUUUUCACUGCGACUGUCUAGGAUUUAACAUGUUGCCCUCUGCUGUGGUUGAGAGCUGCAUUUCUUUUUUUCUACAGCCCUAUAGCUUGUUGCGUGCAAAGUUUGUACGCUAGUAAAACAGUGUCAGUCCUCAUUUGAAUGGGAAGGAUGUCCAGCUAGAGUUUAUUAACAACAGAAUUAAAGUCUGAUUUCUCUGAUCCUGCCUCAGAUAACCUAAUGAAAGCCACAUAACAAUGGAUAACAUUAUUUUGCAUCAGAAGUUGGAGAGGAGGAGGUUGUAGCCCUUUAAUGGUUUUAUUCUUUUGCAAACAUUAAUCAGUGGUCAGAAAGACUUGACUAGAAUUGAUCCCAUGCCCAGAUGGCAUGUCUGGGGACCAAUUGAACUGCCCCAGCCUUUCUUCACUAGUCCUAGUUGGUUCAUUUGGCUGGCAGGGAGCUGUGCCGGACAUGCCAUUGGUGCAACAGGCCUCACGGUAGGAAACAGACAACAUGCAUCAUGGAAACACAAUUCUCUGUACUGCCAUUCUUUCGGUCUUCCAUGCCAUAAUGAAUGAAUGCCAUAGGAAAUGGCUCUCUGUUCAUAUGUAAUGUCAAUUCAACUGGCAGUAGGCCUGUCCCAGAUGUUUUAUAAAAACGAAAGCAAUUACAACUAAAUCCAACUUUAAAUGUUCUGCUUCAGAGGUCAGCAACUUCUUUGGCCUUGAGAGGCCACAUGAGAUGGUGGGGCACUGGCAUCCUUAUCUGCAUCCACACAUGCACAGAGGAAGAGGGAGGCAACGUGGCUGCAGGUGUGGGGUAGGGGAUGAAUUAGGCAGGGGUUGACUGGACAGUUGACAUUGGACCGCAGGGAAGAGGUUACCCACUGGGAUCUUGAAGUGAACUCUCCUUGGGGAUUUUUAAGCAGAGGUGGGAUGGCCACCUGUCAUGGAUGCUUUAGUUGAGAUUCUUGCAUUGUAGGGGGUUGGGCUAGAUGACUCUUGGGGUCCCUUCCAACUCUACAAUUUUAAGAUUCUAUGAUCUACUUGAUAGACCGAAUCCCCACAUAAUGGAAAGGACGUUUUUAGUUUUACUGUGUGUUGGGGUAGGAAUAGGUGUUUGACUCUGUGAACUUUGAGUUCUGUGAUUCUCUGAGUGCUCCACCCUGUGCUCUGCGCAGCUGGGCAUAAAUCCCACAUUUAUGUUUGCUGGAAAUUAUAUGGUUUUGUCGCAUGUGAAAAAAUGAACAUAAAAAUAAAACACAUUCACACUACAUGGAGGUUCUACUGUCCAUCCAGUUGUUAUCCACAGAUUCACAACGUAUUACUGUAUGCCCAAACGUCACUGCAUGCACAGGUGAUUUAAAUAUUGAAACAUCUGGGGUUUGCCCACUUCCGUACUUCUUGUGGUUUGCUGGUCGGCAGCAGUCAUUUUCAGUCAGAAACCAUGGAGAGGGAGGGGAGAGAGAAAUCAGAGAGCAGGAGAGAUCGGACAAAGCAGUUUCUCCUUUGUUUCUCUUUUUCUAGCUGACUGCAGCCAUUUUAGGAAGAAACCAUGGUGGCAGGAGGGGAGAGAAAUACAGUACAGCCAUACCUCAGUUUAAGUACGCUUCAGUUUGAGUACCCGUCUGGAACGGAUUAAUCCAAUUUCCAUUACUUUCAAUGGGAAAGUUCGCUUCAGGUUAAGUACAGACUUCCGGAACCAAUUGUGUACUUAAACCGAGGUACCACUGUAAUGGAUUAGAAAUGUUCCCAAAGCAAUCUGUGGAAAACGUGGACUCGUUAUGCAAAC